This 460-nucleotide ribosomal RNA is filed under the name uncultured bacterium. RNAcentral describes it as "partial 16S ribosomal RNA". It matches the Rfam family "Bacterial small subunit ribosomal RNA", at positions 338 to 795 of the family's 1533-position model. The record is from RNAcentral.
CCUACGGGAGGCAGCAGUGAGGAAUAUUGGUCAAUGGGCGCUAGCCUGAACCAGCCAAGUAGCGUGAAGGAUGACUGCCCUAUGGGUUGUAAACUUCUUUUAUAUGGGAAUAAAGCGCAGCACGUAUACUGCUUUGCAUGUACCUUAUGAAUAAGGAUCGGCUAACUCCGUGCCAGCAGCCGCGGUAAUACGGAGGAUCCGAGCGUUAUCCGGAUUUAUUGGGUUUAAAGGGAGCGUAGGCGGGUUGUUAAGUCAGUUGUGAAAGUUUGCGGCUCAACCGUAAAAUUGCAGUUGAUACUGGCAGCCUUGAGUACAGUAGAGGUAGGCGGAAUUCGUGGUGUAGCGGUGAAAUGCUUAGAUAUCACGAAGAACUCCGAUUGCGAAGGCAGCCUGCUGGACUGUAACUGACGCUGAUGCUCGAAAGUGUGGGUAUCAAACAGGAUUAGAUACCCCAGUAGUC